RNAcentral lists this ribosomal RNA (728 nucleotides) under Pseudarthrobacter niigatensis. RNAcentral's name for it is "bacterial SSU rRNA". It matches the Rfam family "Bacterial small subunit ribosomal RNA", at positions 117 to 857 of the family's 1533-position model. Lineage: Bacteria; Bacillati; Actinomycetota; Actinomycetes; Micrococcales; Micrococcaceae. The record is from RNAcentral.
GUGAGUAACCUGCCCUUGACUCUGGGAUAAGCCUGGGAAACUGGGUCUAAUACCGGAUAUGACCUUCCGCCGCAUGGUGGUUGGUGGAAAGCUUUUGUGGUUUUGGAUGGACUCGCGGCCUAUCAGCUUGUUGGUGGGGUAAUGGCCUACCAAGGCGACGACGGGUAGCCGGCCUGAGAGGGUGACCGGCCACACUGGGACUGAGACACGGCCCAGACUCCUACGGGAGGCAGCAGUGGGGAAUAUUGCACAAUGGGCGCAAGCCUGAUGCAGCGACGCCGCGUGAGGGAUGACGGCCUUCGGGUUGUAAACCUCUUUCAGUAGGGAAGAAGCGAAAGUGACGGUACCUGCAGAAGAAGCGCCGGCUAACUACGUGCCAGCAGCCGCGGUAAUACGUAGGGCGCAAGCGUUAUCCGGAAUUAUUGGGCGUAAAGAGCUCGUAGGCGGUUUGUCGCGUCUGCCGUGAAAGUCCGGGGCUCAACUCCGGAUCUGCGGUGGGUACGGGCAGGCUAGAGUGAUGUAGGGGAGACUGGAAUUCCUGGUGUAGCGGUGAAAUGCGCAGAUAUCAGGAGGAACACCGAUGGCGAAGGCAGGUCUCUGGGCAUUAACUGACGCUGAGGAGCGAAAGCAUGGGGAGCGAACAGGAUUAGAUACCCUGGUAGUCCAUGCCGUAAACGUUGGGCACUAGGUGUGGGGGACAUUCCACGUUUUCCGCGCCGUAGCUAACG